CUGAAAUCCACUUACCUGUUCCCGGGUCCUGUGU
This 34-nucleotide small RNA is filed under the name Bombyx mori (domestic silkworm). RNAcentral's name for it is "ovarian small RNA-14792". The record is from RNAcentral. Lineage: Eukaryota; Metazoa; Arthropoda; Insecta; Lepidoptera; Bombycidae.